GAUGAACGCUGGCGGCGUGCCUAAUACAUGCAAGUCGAGCGAACGGACGAGAAGCUUGCUUCUCUGAUGUUAGCGGCGGACGGGUGAGUAACACGUGGAUAACCUACCUAUAAGACUGGGAUAACUUCGGGAAACCGGAGCUAAUACCGGAUAAUAUUUUGAACCGCAUGGUUCAAAAGUGAAAGACGGUCUUGCUGUCACUUAUAGAUGGAUCCGCGCUGCAUUAGCUAGUUGGUAAGGUAACGGCUUACCAAGGCAACGAUGCAUAGCCGACCUGAGAGGGUGAUCGGCCACACUGGAACUGAGACACGGUCCAGACUCCUACGGGAGGCAGCAGUAGGGAAUCUUCCGCAAUGGGCGAAAGCCUGACGGAGCAACGCCGCGUGGGUGAUGAAGGUCUUCGGAUCGUAAAACUCUGUUAUUAGGGAAGAACAUAUGUGUAAGUAACUGUGCACAUCUUGACGGUACCUAAUCAGAAAGCCACGGCUAACUACGUGCCAGCAGCCGCGGUAAUACGUAGGUGGCAAGCGUUAUCCGGAAUUAUUGGGCGUAAAGCGCGCGUAGGCGGUUUUUUAAGUCUGAUGUGAAAGCCCACGGCUCAACCGUGGAGGGUCAUUGGAAACUGGAAAACUUGAGUGCAGAAGAGGAAAGUGGAAUUCCAUGUGUAGCGGUGAAAUGCGCAGAGAUAUGGAGGAACACCAGUGGCGAAGGCAACUUUCUGGUCUGUAACUGACGCUGAUGUGCGAAAGCGUGGGGAUCAAACAGGAUUAGAUACCCUGGUAGUCCACGCCGUAAACGAUGAGUGCUAAGUGUUAGGGGGUUUCCGCCCCUUAGUGCUGCAGCUAACGCAUUAAGCACUCCGCCUGGGGAGUACGACCGCAAGGUUGAAACUCAAAGGAAUUGACGGGGACCCGCACAAGCGGUGGAGCAUGUGGUUUAAUUCGAAGCAACACGAAGAACCUUACCAAAUCUUGACAUCCUUUGACAACUCUAGAGAUAGAGCUUUCCCCUUCGGGGGACAAAGUGACAGGUGGUGCAUGGUUGUCGUCAGCUCGUGUCGUGAGAUGUUGGGUUAAGUCCCGCAACGAGCGCAACCCUUAAGCUUAGUUGCCAUCAUUAAGUUGGGCACUCUAAGUUGACUGCCGGUGACAAACCGGAGGAAGGUGGGGAUGACGUCAAAUCAUCAUGCCCCUUAUGAUUUGGGCUACACACGUGCUACAAUGGACAAUACAAAGGGCAGCGAAACCGUGAGGUCAAGCAAAUCCCAUAAAGUUGUUCUCAGUUCGGAUUGUAGUCUGCAACUCGACUACAUGAAGCUGGAAUCGCUAGUAAUCGUAGAUCAGCAUGCUACGGUGAAUACGUUCCCGGGUCU
RNAcentral lists this ribosomal RNA (1372 nucleotides) under uncultured bacterium. RNAcentral's name for it is "bacterial SSU rRNA". It matches the Rfam family "Bacterial small subunit ribosomal RNA", at positions 28 to 1381 of the family's 1533-position model. The record is from RNAcentral.